RNAcentral lists this ribosomal RNA (1343 nucleotides) under uncultured bacterium. RNAcentral describes it as "16S ribosomal RNA". It matches the Rfam family "Bacterial small subunit ribosomal RNA", at positions 28 to 1378 of the family's 1533-position model. The record is from RNAcentral.
GACGAACGCUGGCGGCGUGCUUAACACAUGCAAGUCGAACGGAAAGGCCCUGCUUUUGUGGGGUGCUCGAGUGGCGAACGGGUGAGUAACACGUGAGUAACCUGCCCUUGACUUUGGGAUAACUUCAGGAAACUGGGGCUAAUACCGGAUAGGAGCUCCUGCUGCAUGGUGGGGGUUGGAAAGUUUCGGCGGUUGGGGAUGGACUCGCGGCUUAUCAGCUUGUUGGUGGGGUAGUGGCUUACCAAGGCUUUGACGGGUAGCCGGCCUGAGAGGGUGACCGGCCACAUUGGGACUGAGGUACGGCCCAGACUCCUACGGGAGGCAGCAGUGGGGAAUAUUGCACAAUGGGCGGAAGCCUGAUGCAGCAACGCCGCGUGCGGGAUGACGGCCUUCGGGUUGUAAACCGCUUUCGCCUGUGACGAAGCGUGAGUGACGGUAAUGGGUAAAGAAGCACCGGCUAACUACGUGCCAGCAGCCGCGGUGAUACGUAGGGUGCGAGCGUUGUCCGGAUUUAUUGGGCGUAAAGGGCUCGUAGGUGGUUGAUCGCGUCGGAAGUGUAAUCUUGGGGCUUAACCCUGAGCGUGCUUUCGAUACGGGUUGACUUGAGGAAGGUAGGGGAGAAUGGAAUUCCUGGUGGAGCGGUGGAAUGCGCAGAUAUCAGGGGGAACACCAGUGGCGAAGGCGGUUCUCUGGGCCUUUCCUGACGCUGAGGAGCGAAAGCGUGGGGAGCGAACAGGCUUAGAUACCCUGGUAGUCCACGCUGUAAACGGUGGGUACUAGGUGUGGGGUCCAUUCCACGGGUUCCGUGCCGUAGCUAACGCUUUAAGUACCCCGCCUGGGGAGUACGGCCGCAAGGCUAAAACUCAAAGGAAUUGACGGGGCCCCGCACAAGCGGCGGAGCAUGCGGAUUAAUUCGAUGCAACGCGUAGAACCUUACCUGGGUUUGACAUGGAUCGGGAGUGCUCAGAGAUGGGUGUGCCUCUUUUGGGGUCGGUUCACAGGUGGUGCAUGCCUGUCGUCAGCUCGUGUCGUGAGAUGUUGGGUUAAGUCCCGCAACGAGCGCAACCCUUGUUCACUGUUGCCAGCACGUUAUGGUGGGGACUCAGUGGAGACCGCCGGGGUCAACUCGGAGGAAGGUGGGGAUGACGUCAAGUCAUCAUGCCCCUUAUGUCCAGGGCUUCACGCAUGCUACAAUGGCUGGUACAGAGAGUGGCGAGCCUGUGAGGGUGAGCGAAUCUCGGAAAGCCGGUCUCAGUUCGGAUUGGGGUCUGCAACUCGACCUCAUGAAGUCGGAGUCGCUAGUAAUCGCAGAUCAGCAACGCUGCGGUGAAUACGUUCCCGGG